GGCAGACGGGUGAGUAACACGUGGUCAACCUACCUUUAAGUGGGGGAUAACUAGCCGAAAGGUUAGCUAAUACCGCAUACGACCUUCGAGCGGCAUCGUUUGGAGAUGAAAGGAGCAAUCCGCUUAAAGACGGGACCGCGUCCCAUUAGCUAGAUGGUGGGGUAAUGGCCUACCAUGGCGACGAUGGGUAGCUGGCUUGAGAGAGCGACCAGCCACACUGGGACUGAGACACGGCCCAGACUCCUACGGGAGGCAGCAGUGAGGAAUUUUCCGCAAUGGGCGCAAGCCUGACGGAGCGACGCCGCGUGUGGGAAGAAGGCCUUCGGGUCGUAAACCACUGUCGAAGGGGAAGAUAUUGACGGUACCCUUGGAGGAAGCCCCGGCUAACUACGUGCCAGCCGCCGCGG
This 407-nucleotide ribosomal RNA is filed under the name uncultured bacterium. RNAcentral's name for it is "bacterial SSU rRNA". It matches the Rfam family "Bacterial small subunit ribosomal RNA", at positions 97 to 520 of the family's 1533-position model. The record is from RNAcentral.